GACGAACGCUGGCGGCGUGCUUAACACAUGCAGGUCGAACGGAAAGGCCUGCUUUCCCUUGUGGAUUGCGGGUACUCGAGUGGCGAACGGGUGAGUAACACGUGAGUGAUCUGCCCCCAACUUGGGUAUAAGCCUGGGAAACUGGGUCUAAUUCCCGAUAGGACUGCAGGGUGGUGCCUGUGGUGGAAAACGAUUUUCUAGUGGUUGGGGAUGAGCUCGCGGCCUAUCAGCUUGUUGGUGGGGUAAUGGCCUACCAAGGCGGCGACGGGUAGCCGGCCUGGGAGGGUGGACGGCCACAUUGGGACUGAGAUACGGCCCAGACUACUACGGGAGGCAGCAGUGGGGAAUAUGGCACAAUGGGCGGAAGCCUGAUGCAGCGACGCCGCGUGGGGGAUGACGGCCUUCGGGUGGUAAACUCCUUUCGGCCGCGAGGAAGCCACCUGGUUGGAAGGGUGGUGACGGUAGUGGUAGAAGAAGCACCGGCUAACUACGUG
Molecule: ribosomal RNA, 494 nt
Filed under: uncultured bacterium
Lineage: Bacteria
Description: partial 16S ribosomal RNA
Rfam family: Bacterial small subunit ribosomal RNA
Source: RNAcentral